GGAGCGAGGUGAGCGAAGCGCCUCGUUUCGGGCUCUAGCGACAGAGAAAAGGAUAUGGGGCCUAGCAGGGCAGCUCGGAAUCAGUCACCAGUUACUUCAAUUGAAUUGGAUUUGGCUGCAACGCUGUUUACCCCUGAAACUCCAGAAGUGUUUUGUGGACUCAAACACUUUACCCACCCAUCCAUCAGCAUAGUGCAUCUGUCCAGAAUAUGACCAAGCCGAACAGGGGGAUGUUGAAGGAGAGCAGAUGACAUGCAGUCGCAACGAUUAGACACAGAGGGGCCAUAAUAGGGAAG
Long non-coding RNA from Pleuronectes platessa (European plaice), 296 nucleotides. RefSeq lists it as uncharacterized. The transcript is spliced from 3 exons. NCBI's taxonomy places the organism in Eukaryota, Metazoa, Chordata, Actinopteri, Pleuronectiformes, Pleuronectidae. The record is from RefSeq and is a predicted model, not a curated record.